GUGAUCAUGGAUCUUGGCCUGUGAUGCAGUUCCGUUGUCCGCAACAUGGGGAAAGCUGUGAUUUGAAUUGGGCCAGAGCUCAGCUAGGUGACCAACUGCCAAGGGGGUCAGAGUGAAACAUGGAAGAUGGUGAAGCAGUUAAAAAGAACUUUGUAUGAAUACCACUAAUCUGUGUGGGAAAUACAAAGACAGCUUGCAAAAAAAAAACAUGGCCAUCAACAUCAAGGAAGAUUAAUGUGAACGAAGAACAAGAGCAAAGAUCAAUACAGCACAGGAACAGGCCCUAUGGCUCACCAGGCCU
Molecule: non-coding RNA, 301 nt
Organism: Chiloscyllium plagiosum (whitespotted bambooshark)
Lineage: Eukaryota; Metazoa; Chordata; Chondrichthyes; Orectolobiformes; Hemiscylliidae
Source: RefSeq, a predicted model, not a curated record